Long non-coding RNA from Daphnia carinata, 970 nucleotides. RefSeq lists it as uncharacterized. The record is from RefSeq and is a predicted model, not a curated record. NCBI's taxonomy places the organism in Eukaryota, Metazoa, Arthropoda, Branchiopoda, Diplostraca, Daphniidae. The transcript has 4 exons.
UUUUGUCAAAAUCAGCAAAAAAUGACCUUGUGGAAUUCAAUGAAAAUCACAGAUUAUAUUUUAAAUUAAAUGCUGAUUUUGAUAUUAGUUUUCUCGUCCAAUCAGCAAGUUCGAAAGAAUUGGAAGAAAAGUGCUUGUAACGCAAAAUAUUUGUUCGUCCGUUUUCGACAUUUAUCGAAAAUAUUUGAAGUCUCACGUAAAAAUAAAAUCGCUUUUCGUGAUAUUUGUUAAAUUUUGAGUACAUCACAUGUAUCUCAAGUAAUAUUUAAAAUUUGUCAAAAAAUGAAAAACUGGGAAGGGUAUAGCCUUCCCAUGUUUGCCAAAAUCUGCAAAACGUGACAUCUCUUAGAAUUCGGCGAAAAUCCCACAGUAUACUCAAAAUGGAACACUAAUUUUGAAAAAGUACAGCCUCAAUAAUUUGACUAAGCAGUAUGAAAAAGUUGAUCUCGUAACGAAAUUUGUUACUAUGGAUUUGCUUGAAUUGCCUCUUGAGGCAGAAACCUGUUUCUUCACCGCAAAAGAAGAAUAUGAUGGAAAUCUCGUGAUACUGCGAUUGAUAGGAAAUAUAUAGUACAAGCAUCGCGUUGUUAUGGAGGAAAAACCACGCCAACAUUUGGGUGGACGAAAUCCUGCACUAAAAAGCAUAGUGGUAUUCUGUCUUGGUGAUAGAACUCUUUGUGCCUAUCUGCAUCAGGCAUUAAUCAAAACCGAUGGUGUCGAAAUCGACCGGAUCUCGCUUUAUGGAAACAGGGAUUAAUCUGAUAUGCAAGUUGAGUUUCCAAAUGCUGUAUUACGUUUAACAUGAUUUUUGUUUUCAACCUGUUUCACAUUUACAUCCAUAUUUUUCGGUUUAACAGGAAAGAAGUUUUACCAUACUCGCUAGGAACUUAUCUAAGUAAGAAGCAGUAAUGUUCUUCGUAGGAUGUUAACGUGUGUAUACGAGAAAAAAUAAAUUCGACGUAGUAAUCCA